UGCAGUCGAGCGAUGAAGCUUCCUUCGGGAAGUGGAUUAGCGGCGGACGGGUGAGUAACACGUGGGUAACCUGCCUCAAAGUGGGGGAUAGCCUUCCGAAAGGAAGAUUAAUACCGCAUAACAUAAGAGAAUCGCAUGAUUUUCUUAUCAAAGAUUUAUUGCUUUGAGAUGGACCCGCGGCGCAUUAGCUAGUUGGUAAGGUAACGGCUUACCAAGGCAACGAUGCGUAGCCGACCUGAGAGGGUGAUCGGCCACAUUGGAACUGAGACACGGUCCAGACUCCUACGGGAGGCAGCAGUGGGGAAUAUUGCGCAAUGGGGGAAACCCUGACGCAGCAACGCCGCGUGGGUGAUGAAGGUCUUCGGAUUGUAAAGCCCUGUUUUCUGGGACGAUAAUGACGGUACCAGAGGAGGAAGCCACGGCUAACUACGUGCCAGCAGCCGCGGUAAUACGUAGGUGGCGAGCGUUGUCCGGAUUUACUGGGCGUAAAGGGUGCGUAGGCGGAUGUUUAAGUGGGAUGUGAAAUCCCCGGGCUUAACCUGGGGGCUGCAUUCCAAACUGGAUAUCUAGAGUGCAGGAGAGGAAAGCGGAAUUCCUAGUGUAGCGGUGAAAUGCGUAGAGAUUAGGAAGAACACCAGUGGCGAAGGCGGCUUUCUGGACUGUAACUGACGCUGAGGCACGAAAGCGUGGGUAGCAAACAGGAUUAGAUACCCUGGUAGUCCACGCCGUAAACGAUGGAUACUAGGUGUAGGGGGUAUCAACUCCCCCUGUGCCGCAGUUAACACAAUAAGUAUCCCGCCUGGGGAGUACGGUCGCAAGAUUAAAACUCAAAGGAAUUGACGGGGGCCCGCACAAGCAGCGGAGCAUGUGGUUUAAUUUCGAA
Molecule: ribosomal RNA, 883 nt
Filed under: Clostridium sp. T60C337
Lineage: Bacteria; Bacillati; Bacillota; Clostridia; Eubacteriales; Clostridiaceae
Description: bacterial SSU rRNA
Rfam family: Bacterial small subunit ribosomal RNA
Source: RNAcentral